AUACGGAGGAUGCGAGCGUUAUCCGGAUUUAUUGGGUUUAAAGGGUGCGUAGGCGGUUUGUCAAGUCAGCGGUGAAACGCAAGGGCUUAACCCUUGACCUGCCGUUGAAACUGGCGGACUUGAAUGCGGACGCUGAGGGUGGAAUGUGGGGUGUAGCGGUGAAAUGCAUAGAUAUAGCACAGAACACCAAUUGCGAAGGCAUCUCACAAAUCCGUGAUUGACGCUGAGGCACGAAAGUGUGGGGAUCAAACAGGAUUAGAUCCCCUGGUAGUCCACACUGUAAACGAUGAUGACUCGCUGUCGGCGAUAUACAGUCGGUGGCCAAGCGAAAGCGAUAAGUCAUCCACCUGGGGAGUACGACCGCAAGGUUGAAACUCAAAGGAAUUGACGGGG
RNAcentral lists this ribosomal RNA (393 nucleotides) under uncultured bacterium. RNAcentral's name for it is "partial 16S ribosomal RNA". It matches the Rfam family "Bacterial small subunit ribosomal RNA", at positions 523 to 918 of the family's 1533-position model. The record is from RNAcentral.